Aegilops tauschii subsp. strangulata is the source of this 1604-nucleotide long non-coding RNA. RefSeq lists it as uncharacterized. The record is from RefSeq and is a predicted model, not a curated record. Lineage: Eukaryota; Viridiplantae; Streptophyta; Magnoliopsida; Poales; Poaceae.
UGAUAUAGUUAUUUCAAGCAAUGGGUAUGAUUUGAAAUAAAAUAUCAAGUAGCUGGAAUUUGAUGAAGUAAUUGGAAAAUUUAAACUUUAUCGAAGAAGCUUGUAGAAACAAGAAGUUUAGUGGGAUCUCUAUGGAAUUUAUGACCUUACAUAUGUAUGACAUAUCAUUUGAUCAUAAAUAAUAUAAAGUAUAUUAGCACAAAGGAUUAAAAUCAUGUUUCUGAAAGGACUUAGAAUAAUUUGAUGAAAGUCUAUAUAGAUGGAUUGUAACAUUUGAUUAUACUAAGACAUGUACCGUGAAAAAAAAUUAAAGAAGUUUAAAAGGACAAUAUGUUUUCUCAAAAUGCCACAUAUCAUAACACUAUGUAGAAAUCAAUAGUUCAUGAGCAUGUGUGGAUGGAUAGAGUUCAAUUUGAUUCAAAGAUUGAAUUCAUUAUAUGUGCUAUCAAAUGUACAAACCAUAUGUUUCAUCUAUAUCUAUACCUGUACUAAUUAGGCACUUCCAAGAAAUUACCACGUUAAUUAGAAAAUAAGAGCCGUUUAUCUGGUGGGACCGAAUUAUUACGGUCUAGAUUUACCCACCCAAUCUUUUUUUCUCCAAAAAACUCGCAUACUCGUUUCAUGCUUGGACUCUAUAUAGCCUCCACGAUUUAUUUUUAAGCUCUUUGGUCUCCACGAUUCAAUCUACAUCAAACACACUCUUUCACAGUUAGGACUCUAUAUGGCGUCUACCCUUAAUCUAGGAUAAAACAUACCUAAUCUUUCGGAAGGUCAACUACCCGCUCCUAACUUUGUGCCGCUCUCCAUGCCCUAGGCCUAGAGACUCCAUCCGUGAGAUGUGGUCUCACUAUCCAGGUUGACGACUCCGGCGGCUGGUGGCGCUCCCAUUCGUCGCCAGCGAGCAGAAGUUGCAGCCUCGCGGCCCGAGGAUGGUUGAUGCAUCAUAUGAGGAGGUGUAUGCAUAAUGGUUUGAAUAAAGGAGGCUGCCAUAUGUACUUGAGGACAUCAAGUUGAGGAAUUACGUUGGACUAGUGACACAACAACUCACAAUCCAAACCCUACUCAAGUUCUUCUCCCAUUAUUCCUGCUCCACCCCAUCCAUAAAUAAGCCUGCAUUGUUAAUUCCCUCCUCUUCCAUCCGUUAAAUUCAUCUCUGAACCCCUAACAAGUUGUCUUAGUACAUCACGUUUCAUCAACAACAAUAGUUUUUUCCUUAUCUAUCUUCAUCACUUCUCUGCGUCAUAUUAUACAUUUUGGCGAGCGGAGGAGAACCAGCUAGGGUGUGAUAUGCAUAGCCUAAAGUGGCACCAUGCAGGCCUAGCUUGGAGAAGUAUGAACAUUGGAGCAAGAACAAGCAUGGAGUUGAUAGCAUGCGCAAGGGAAACAAAAAUGGAGUUUCCAGUGAUGAUUUCAGAACUUUGAAGCCACCAUAAUGAGUGCAUGAAGCCUUGGACGAAAUAUACAAGAUGCCACUUCAUAAAUUUCAUCGAGAGGCUAUUAUAGGUGUUGUGUCACCUUAUUAUUGGGCGAGGCCCAUGUAAUUUCAAAAUACUUGAAUAUAGGCUGUUUUUAGAGUCCGUAUGUGUGGGGAAACAAGAGUUAGG